UACGAAGGGGGCUAGCGUUGCUCGGAAUGACUGGGCGUAAAGGGCGCGUAGGCGGUUUGUACAGUCAGAUGUGAAAUUCCUGGGCUUAACCUGGGGACUGCAUUUGAGACGUGCAGACUUGAGUGUGGAAGAGGGUCGUGGAAUUCCCAGUGUAGAGGUGAAAUUCGUAGAUAUUGGGAAGAACACCGGUGGCGAAGGCGGCGACCUGGUCCAUAACUGACGCUGAGGCGCGAAAGCGUGGGGAGCAAACAG
This 252-nucleotide ribosomal RNA is filed under the name uncultured bacterium. RNAcentral describes it as "partial 16S ribosomal RNA". It matches the Rfam family "Bacterial small subunit ribosomal RNA", at positions 524 to 775 of the family's 1533-position model. The record is from RNAcentral.